Long non-coding RNA from Canis lupus familiaris (dog), 1309 nucleotides. RefSeq lists it as uncharacterized. NCBI's taxonomy places the organism in Eukaryota, Metazoa, Chordata, Mammalia, Carnivora, Canidae. The record is from RefSeq and is a predicted model, not a curated record. The transcript is spliced from 5 exons.
CUGGGCCGAAGGCAGACAGUCAACCGCUGAGCCACCCAGGGGUCCCUGGCCAUGGAUUAAUUUGGGUUUAUAAUGGGAGCUGGAAUAUCCAUAAAUCUAGGAAUUUCAGCACCCAGACUGGAAGACACUACUAUACUACAUGCAGAGAUGGAAACAUCUUAAAGAACAGCUAGGAUAUUAUUGAAGUUUUUCACCACUAAGGAUCUCUGGGCUCAGGAGAGUCCUGACAGAGAAAUGUUCAUCUUACUGUUGACGUCAGCUCAUCCUUUAUCUCCAAUGCUGCUGGUUGUGUCUGGAGACCUCAACAGGUAGCAAAAGGCAACUUGGGGCAGCCCACUGCAGAGCAGAACACACUGUGAUCUCAGUCCCCCAUUUUGGAGAUUCAGGGGGGAGAGUGACCCGUACAUCAAGAACAGAAGUGGAGAUAGAAUAACAACAGGAAGAAGGGGAGAGGGAGCAUUUAUUAAAGAGUAUACUUGGGACCACCUACCUGGAGAAGGCUAGGGAAGUUGAGCAUAGCUGAAAAGAGAUUAUACAUUUGAAGAUCCAACGUUUUCAAGUGCUGGAUGAGAACAAACGCUUCACGAUGAAGAUACUACCAAGGAGCAUAUCAUUAAGGGAGAGUAUAGUGGUGCCUGGUGACUCAGUAGGUUGGGUGUCUUAUUAAAGAUUUUGGCACAGGUCCUGAACUCAGGGUGCUGGUUUGAGCUCAAUAGCAGGAUAUGCAGGAAAUCUUCAUGGGAUUCUCUCUCACCUUCUGUCCCUCCACCCACAAACAGAGUCUCUCUCUCUCUCUCAAAAUAUAAUAAAUAACUACAUAAAUAACAAAAUAGUGUAAAACGCAUGAGAGAAAAUAAAUUACAUAUGAUGUUGAUUUAAGGAUCUGAGUCUUCACAGUCACCAUCUUCCUUGUGCAGCAGCAUAGGAAUGGGGUUGGGGUGGCCUGGGGAAAAAAGAGGGGACAGUUAAGGGGAGAGGAUAUUAGUCACAGUUUCUAGGAUUGAUAUCCCUCCCCCCGAACUAAAUUUUGCCUUCUGCUCUAGUAUCCUCAGGUAUACAACCCUGAAUUCAAUGAUCCUUUCAACUUUAUGUGAGGAAUGGCCUCCAGAGUCUCAGAUUCCAUAUCUUCAACCAGGAAAGAAGGCUUGUCAUUCCAUCCUUCAAAGAAGUGACCAUGGGCAUCCAGGAUGGCUCAGCGGUUUAGUGCCGCCUUCAGCCUGGGGCCUGAUAUGGAAGACACAGGUCUAGUCUCACAUCAGGCUCCCUGCAUGGAGCCUGCUUCCCCUCUGCCUGUGUCUCUGCCUCUCUC